UUAAGUUAUUAAGGGCGCACGGUGGAUGCCUUGGCACUAGAAGCCGAUGAAGGACGUUACUAACGACGAUAUGCUUUGGGGAGCUGUAAGUAAGCUUUGAUCCAGAGAUUUCCGAAUGGGGAAACCCAGCAUGAGUUAUGUCAUGUUAUCGAUAUGUGAAUACAUAGCAUAUCAGAAGGCACACCCGGAGAACUGAAACAUCUUAGUACCCGGAGGAAGAGAAAGAAAAUUCGAUUCCCUUAGUAGCGGCGAGCGAAACGGGAAGAGCCCAAACCAACAAGCUUGCUUGUUGGGGUUGUAGGACACUCUGUACGGAGUUACAAAGGACGACAUUAGACGAAUCAUCUGGAAAGAUGAAUCAAAGAAGGUAAUAAUCCUGUAGUCGAAAAUGUUGUCUCUCUUGAGUGGAUCCUGAGUACGACGGAGCACGUGAAAUUCCGUCGGAAUCUGGGAGGACCAUCUCCUAAGGCUAAAUACUCUCUAGUGACCGAUAGUGAACCAGUACCGUGAGGGAAAGGUGAAAAGCACCCCGGAAGGGGAGUGAAAUAGAACCUGAAACCGUGUGCUUACAAGUAGUCAGAGCCCGUUAAUGGGUGAUGGCGUGCCUUUUGUAGAAUGAACCGGCGAGUUACGAUUUGAUGCAAGGUUAAGCAGUAAAUGUGGAGCCGUAGCGAAAGCGAGUCUGAAUAGGGCGUUUAGUAUUUGGUCGUAGACCCGAAACCAGGUGAUCUACCCUUGGUCAGGUUGAAGUUCAGGUAACACUGAAUGGAGGACCGAACCGACUUACGUUGAAAAGUGAGCGGAUGAACUGAGGGUAGCGGAGAAAUUCCAAUCGAACCUGGAGAUAGCUGGUUCUCUCCGAAAUAGCUUUAGGGCUAGCCUCAAGUGAUGAUUAUUGGAGGUAGAGCACUGUUUGGACGAGGGGCCCCUCUCGGGUUACCGAAUUCAGACAAACUCCGAAUGCCAAUUAAUUUAACUUGGGAGUCAGAACAUGGGUGAUAAGGUCCGUGUUCGAAAGGGAAACAGCCCAGACCACCAGCUAAGGUCCCAAAAUAUAUGUUAAGUGGAAAAGGAUGUGGCGUUGCCCAGACAACUAGGAUGUUGGCUUAGAAGCAGCCAUCAUUUAAAGAGUGCGUAAUAGCUCACUAGUCGAGUGACACUGCGCCGAAAAUGUACCGGGGCUAAACAUAUUACCGAAGCUGUGGAUUGUCCUUUGGACAAUGGUAGGAGAGCGUUCUAAGGGCGUUGAAGCAUGAUCAUAAGGACAUGUGGAGCGCUUAGAAGUGAGAAUGCCGGUGUGAGUAGCGAAAGACGGGUGAGAAUCCCGUCCACCGAUUGACUAAGGUUUCCAGAGGAAGGCUCGUCCGCUCUGGGUUAGUCGGGUCCUAAGCUGAGGCCGACAGGCGUAGGCGAUGGAUAACAGGUUGAUAUUCCUGUACCACCUAUAAUCGUUUUAAUCGAUGGGGGGACGCAGUAGGAUAGGCGAAGCGUGCGAUUGGAUUGCACGUCUAAGCAGUAAGGCUGAGUAUUAGGCAAAUCCGGUACUCGUUAAGGCUGAGCUGUGAUGGGGAGAAGACAUUGAGUCUUCGAGUCGUUGAUUUCACACUGCCGAGAAAAGCCUCUAGAUAGAAAAUAGGUGCCCGUACCGCAAACCGACACAGGUAGUCAAGAUGAGAAUUCUAAGGUGAGCGAGCGAACUCUCGUUAAGGAACUCGGCAAAAUGACCCCGUAACUUCGGGAGAAGGGGUGCUCUUUAGGGUUAACGCCCAGAAGAGCCGCAGUGAAUAGGCCCAAGCGACUGUUUAUCAAAAACACAGGUCUCUGCUAAACCGUAAGGUGAUGUAUAGGGGCUGACGCCUGCCCGGUGCUGGAAGGUUAAGAGGAGUGGUUAGCUUCUGCGAAGCUACGAAUCGAAGCCCCAGUAAACGGCGGCCGUAACUAUAACGGUCCUAAGGUAGCGAAAUUCCUUGUCGGGUAAGUUCCGACCCGCACGAAAGGCGUAACGAUUUGGGCACUGUCUCAACGAGAGACUCGGUGAAAUCAUAGUACCUGUGAAGAUGCAGGUUACCCGCGACAGGACGGAAAGACCCCGUGGAGCUUUACUGUAGCCUGAUAUUGAAAUUCGGCACAGCUUGUACAGGAUAGGUAGGAGCCUUUGAAACGUGAGCGCUAGCUUACGUGGAGGCGCUGGUGGGAUACUACCCUAGCUGUGUUGGCUUUCUAACCCGCACCACUUAUCGUGGUGGGAGACAGUGUCAAGCGGGCAGUUUGACUGGGGCGGUCGCCUCCUAAAAGGUAACGGAGGCGCUCAAAGGUUCCCUCAGAAUGGUUGGAAAUCAUUCAUAGAGUGUAAAGGCAUAAGGGAGCUUGACUGCGAGACCUACAAGUCGAGCAGGGUCGAAAGACGGACUUAGUGAUCCGGUGGUUCCGCAUGGAAGGGCCAUCGCUCAACGGAUAAAAGCUACCCCGGGGAUAACAGGCUUAUCUCCCCCAAGAGUUCACAUCGACGGGGAGGUUUGGCACCUCGAUGUCGGCUCAUCGCAUCCUGGGGCUGUAGUCGGUCCCAAGGGUUGGGCUGUUCGCCCAUUAAAGCGGUACGCGAGCUGGGUUCAGAACGUCGUGAGACAGUUCGGUCCCUAUCCGUCGUGGGCGUAGGAAAUUUGAGAGGAGCUGUCCUUAGUACGAGAGGACCGGGAUGGACAUACCUCUGGUGUACCAGUUGUCGUGCCAACGGCAUAGCUGGGUAGCUAUGUGUGGACGGGAUAAGUGCUGAAAGCAUCUAAGCAUGAAGCCCCCCUCAAGAUGAGAUUUCCCAACUUCGGUUAUAAGAUCCCUCAAAGAUGAUGAGGUUAAUAGGUUCGAGGUGGAAGCAUGGUGACAUGUGGAGCUGACGAAUACUAAUCGAUCGAAGACUUAAUCAA
RNAcentral lists this ribosomal RNA (2921 nucleotides) under Staphylococcus aureus DAR3176. Its description in RNAcentral is "bacterial LSU rRNA". It matches the Rfam family "Bacterial large subunit ribosomal RNA". Lineage: Bacteria; Bacillati; Bacillota; Bacilli; Caryophanales; Staphylococcaceae. The record is from RNAcentral.